This 267-nucleotide unclassified non-coding RNA is filed under the name fungal sp. Its description in RNAcentral is "partial internal transcribed spacer region". The stretch from base 1 to 46 matches the Rfam family "Eukaryotic small subunit ribosomal RNA", at positions 1786 to 1831 of the family's 1831-position model. The record is from RNAcentral. Lineage: Eukaryota; Fungi.
AAGUCGUAACAAGGUUUCCGUAGGUGAACCUGCGGAAGGAUCAUUAUCAAUGGCUUAUGCCAACCCAACCUGUGUGCACCUUCCUGCCUGGUGGUGGAAGCUUGGGGACGACUUUGGUCUGAACCAGGUGACCACUGCCCAUUGAUUACCUAUUAUAUUAAAUUACUAUUCCAUUACCCAUCUGCGUCGAGCACUUGUGCUAGGCCAGAUAACUGAACAACUAUUAGCAAUGGAUCUCUAGGCUCUCAUAGCGAUGAAGAACGCAGC